Cryptotermes secundus is the source of this 9799-nucleotide RNA transcript. It is a transcript of the gene named putative leucine-rich repeat-containing protein DDB_G0290503, with no coding region annotated. NCBI's taxonomy places the organism in Eukaryota, Metazoa, Arthropoda, Insecta, Blattodea, Kalotermitidae. The transcript is spliced from 20 exons. The record is from RefSeq and is a predicted model, not a curated record.
AACUGUUGGUUCUUAGCUGUAGUUUGAGUAGAAGAUUCGGAAACUUAUUUGAAUUUAGUACAAUGUUUGAAACUGUUGGUUCUUGCUGUAGUUUGAGUAGAAGAUUCGGAAACUUUUAAUUGUGUAUACGAGUACAGAUUAUAAUUUUAGAGCAGCAAUGUGUGACUAUUUUAAGACUUGGCAAAACGUUUUGGUACAAUGGGUCAAUUGUCUAGCACUCGAAGAGAAACCAAUUCAGCAAGUUACGGAAUUAGGUGAUUGCAGAUUUUUCCACAGUCUUUUGAGUUUCAUAUCUCACAGGGCUAAGCAUGGCAUCAACACAGAUCAGGCAGAGGAGGCUAUUACAAGCUUUUUAAAAUGUGAAUACCCAAAUUAUUGCUUAGAAACAGAGUCUCGUGAAGUUGAAGAAAUUGAAAUUACAUACAUUACAUCUUUAUUACUGUUGCACUGUGUUCUAAAGAGUGAGAAUAAAAGGAUAAUGGAUCAUAUGUAUAGUCUGGACCAUGAGACACAAGUAUAUAUUAAAAACUUCUUUGAAAUCAUGUUGCAGUAUGAUGGAAAUGUAACAAGAAGUGCUCUGAAGCAUGCUAUCAAUGAAUAUGCUAGCAGUAUGUCUCCAAAAUCUGCAGAGAAAGGACACCGUUUUUCAGAAUCUCCACUCAUUGGUUUCAGCACACCUAGACGUCCCCCCAUCAGAGAUGUUGUCGAGUCUCCCUUAGCUCAGAAACUUAAACAACUCUCAGAGCAAAGAGCUGUAAUAAAGAGGCUAAAUAAUGAGUUGGAGGUUGAGCAGUUGGAGAAAGUUGAGCUGCAAGAGGAGCUGCGCCAGCAACGUGAAAAAAAUAAGAAAUUGACUAAACAGCUAAUUGAUAAACGUGAUGAGAUCAAGAAACUGCGAGAAGAAUGGUUAUUUAGUGAUUCUGAAUCACAUGAAAAGGCUGGGUGCAGUAAAUCUUGCCAAGAGACCUUGCUAAAGAAUCAGAUAAGAAGUUUGGAGUCAUAUAUCUCGUCUGUUCACGGUGACAUGGAUUCUCUGCGCAGUGAACGAGAUUUGUUACAACAAAGGAUGUAUAAAGCAGAGCACCAGUAUAAUGUGUUGCAUAAAAAGUCACAAGAGUAUGAAGAACAAUGUGAGAAGCUGCAGCAAGAUGUUAUAGAGAAAGAAAUUGAGUUGGCCCAGGUGAAAGAGCUGUGCUCGGAGCUCCAAAGCCAUGUCCAGGAACUGAAACAAAUUCGUGACACAAGUGUAGAAGAAGACAUUACAAAUCCAGUAUGCAAGAGCCCAGAAAAUCUAGGUCAGGCAGUAGUAGACCUGCAGCUACGUGAAAAAGAAGAAGAAAAUAAAGCAAUCUCAGAACAACUUAAGAGAAUGAUCAUGAAAGGAGAAAAGAUGACAAAGCACAUCCAUGACCUUGAACUUUCUUUAGAAGCUGCAAAUCAAGAAGCAGAAUCUCUAAAGAUGUCAAAUUUUGAAUUGGAAAGAAAGGUCAGUAAAAUAGCAGAUUUACAGCAUGAACUGGAGGAAUCUGAAAGGAAACUGAAUUCUACUUCUGUUGAGCUUGAUCACCUUUCUCAAGAGCAUAUUCUGCAUGAAAAAGAACUUGCUGACUUGCAGGACCUCCUUGCUUGCAGAGAUAAGGAACUUUCAGAUUUGCAUGAAGCGGCUACAUCACUUACUUCAGAUCUUGCUAAGCUUCAGGACCAAUUUCUGGAAACUCAGAAGGUUCUAACUGCAAAGAUGGAACUUGUGACUAUGUUAGAAUGUGAAACCCGUGAAACCCAGAAACAAUUGAAAUGUACAUCUGAAGAAGUUGCAGCCAUAAAAUUGGAGAAUGUAGAAAUACAAGGGAAUCUGGAUUGUAUAGCACAGCAGCUAGAAGAAAAUGUGAAACUGGUUGAAGGAAUUCUGGUAUCAGGUGAUUAUACUCCAGAAGAUGCUGACCAGUUGAAAGGAGAUGGAACAGAAGGAUUUUUAUCAACUUUGAGUGUUGAUGUGAAAGCUAAAGUCAGAAGAUUAAAUUUAUUACUCGCUGAACUGGAUGCUAAGAAUCUCAAGUCACUUUAUGAGAAGUCUAAUUUGGAGUCAGCUUGUAAGCAAUUGAAUGACAGUAUUAUAAAACUUCGUGAGGAAAUUUCUGAGCUAGAAGACAAGGAAAGAAAUCAUCUUCAAGAAAGGAGCGUGCUGAAGGAAUGUCUGCAACGGGCCGAUGAAAAUAUUUCAGUUUUGCAAACAAAGGUUUCAGAAUAUUCUCUUAAGAUUGAGGAUUUGAACUCUCUGUUAGAGGAUAAAAGGGCUGCAGUUGAGCAACUUGAGAGGAUAAAACAGAGCCUCUCUGAUAAAAGUGAAAAACUUGAAAAACUAAACAAAGAAAAGGCAGAAAAGCUACAAAAAAUUGAAACUGAACUGUCAGAAAUUAUGCAUGAUAAGCUUCUGUUACAAGGUCUGUAUCAGAAAACAAAAGAAUUUGCUGAAGAACAAACUAAGACUGUGAACAUGCUAAAUUGUAAGGUUGCCAAAUUUGAGACUGAAAUUCAAGGCAUGGUGCGGGAAAGGGAUUGCUGUAACAAUAACCUACAGAAUAUAAUUUGUAAACUACAAGAAUUUCAAGCAAGUAAAGACAGUUUUGAACAAAUCUAUGGUUAUGAAGUGCAAGAAAAUGAACCCACUGAGAAAUUAAAUUGUCUUCUUAAUAGAUUGAAAGACAAAUUUAAUGAAUUAGAGGACAGAGCUACAUUGACAGAUGAAGAACUUGAAUCCCUGAAAAGGAAACUUGCAGAAAUGAUCAAGAACAGAGACACUCUGAAAUUGCAGUAUGACACAGAAAGUCAGGAGAAGGCUGAACAAAUUGAGUUACUCAACCAGCACAUGAAAAAUUUAGAGAUAACUACUGCAAAACUUGAGGAAGAGAAGAAGGUCAUUUUUGGAGAACUGGAAUGUGUAAAAUUAAAAUUUUCAGAAACAGUAAUUGGAAAUAAUGUCCAAAUUCAGAAAUUGAAUGAAAGUGUUUUGGAGAAGGAAGUAUACAUAAGCAGUUUGCAAACUACAGUGGAAAAUGAAGUAAUGAGAUUGCAACAUGAAAAAGAGGCCAUUAAUAAUACAUUAGAAAUUGAAAAAACUAAAUUACUUGAAGUGACUCUAGAUAGAGAUGAAAUAAAAAUGUUAUAUGAGAAGCAAAAUGAAGAAUAUAAAAUAGAAUUUGCAAAUCUGUCAGAUAAACUAACCUCCUUAGCAAGUGAAAUUGAAGCAAUUGAACAAGGUAAAAUGGCUGCACAGAAUGAACUCCAAUGUAAAACGAAUGAAUGGAGUGACAUUAAAAGAAGUUAUGAGACUUUGUUAGAAGAGAUGAAACGCCUGGAAACUACAAAUGGAAAACAACUUGAACAGCUGAAGAUCUCAAUGGAAAGGAUCGAAGACCUAGCAAGAGAAAAGAAGGUAGUUUCUGAAGAACUCGACACUGCUAGAUCUGAACUUUCAAAAGAAAAGCAUUGUAAAGAAUUGUUAUCUGAAGAGCUUACUGACAAGAACAGUAAUCUGAUUUCUGUGGUACAAGAUUUGGACAAAUUGCGUGGUGUGGUCAGGAUCUUAGAAGAAGAAAGAAAUCAGCUGCAGAGUACUGUACAGCAUUUAACAUCUGAGCUCAUGGCUGUUGAAACUAGUAAAGAUCAACUUAUGCAGCAAUAUAACACUUUGGAAACAGAAAGAGAGAACAUUCUUGCUAUAAGAAUGGAAUUAGAAAUGAAAGUUGAUAAUUUAGAAAAAGAAAUGUUUUCCAUCAAUAAUGAGCUAUGUGCUGCCAGGUCUUCUCUACUUUUAUACAAAGAGCAGCAAGAAAAACUUAUUGUUCAUCAUAAUAAGGAAAUUGAAGAAAAAGAAGAGACUAUAAUGCAGUUAAUGGAGAAAAUCAAUGUGUUACAAGAUGAGAUUAAUUCUCUGCAAGGUGAGAGGAAGGAUUUACAUACUCAGUGCCAUGAAGCAAAGUUAGAAGUCACUGAAUUAAAAACAUGCAAAGAACACCUAAUACAAUUGUGUAAUGAGGUAAAAGUUGAAAAUGAAGCACUAGAACUUACAAAAAUAUCACUAGAUAAGAAAAUUGAUGAUUUGCUUCAUGAAAUGAACAGUAUUAUUGAAGAACAGGAAAGUGUUAGAGCGUCUAUGCUGGCAUUACAAGAAAGUAAGGCAUCACUUUUGGAACAACAUUCCAAAGAACUGCAAGAAAGAGAACAGAAAAUUGAUAAGCUUUUGACAGACAAAGCUGCUAUACAAAACAUACUAGACCAGACAACUGAAGAAAGGGACAUAUUAAAUAAGAAUUUGCAAUUGACCAAAUCUGAAUUAUUGGAAAUUAAAAGAAAUCAAGAUGAACUUUUGCAAGUUCACACAAAACAAAUACAGAAGACUGAAGAAAACAUCAUGAUUGCUCAUAGAAAUGCUGUUGAAGUGAAGACAGUUCUAUUGAAAAAAGUAAAGGAAGUUGAAGAUGAAAGAGACAUGGAAAGGAAGUCACAUGCUAAGAUGGAACAGCUUUUGAAUGAAGAAAAGGAAAAUGUAGAAUUGAUAUUAACACAGAUGAAUCAGUUGAUGUCUGAAAAAAGGACAGUGUCUCAGUUAUGCAGUGAUAUCAAGGAUAAUGUCUCUAGUCUUUGCAUGGCUGUUGCAGCUUACCAAGAUCAGAACAUAAAUGGAAAGGAAGAAGGUCAGAAAUGUGACAUACAGAAAGUAGUAAUUAGUACGUCUGAACAUUUGGAUGGCAUGAAAGAAGAGAGUGAAGGCUGUGAAACAGAUCCCUUGCAUGUAGUAUGUGAGUCCAGAAAGAACUUGUCUGCAAAGCCAUGGAACUUAGAUCUUGUUAAAGGAUGCACUGAUAAGCUGACUUCCAAUGGGAAUGAAACUGCAAAUGAAAGCACAUUUUUAGAAUAUUCAUCUGAGUUACUGAACAAUCAGAAUAUAUGCAUGGAGGUACAGGCAUUUCCCCCAGAAGCUAAAUCAACAGCCAUGGAGAUCAAAGAGUCAGAGCUGCAGAUAAAUCAUGAGGAGGACGUUUAUGCAGAUUUCUCUGAAGUAGUUAACAAGCUAAAAGAUCUAAAUGCUGAAUUUAUUUCUGCUAGAGGAGAAAUUAUGGGAAUCCUUAAAUCAAACAAUAACCUCAAAAACGAACUGUCAGUUAUUGAAAAUAGAUACAAUGAUGUAGCACAGAAAUAUGCAGAUUUAACAUGUACAAUUGGAAUUUUAAAUUCUGAAAAUGAGAAACUGUUGAAAAAUAUUGAGGAGCUGGGAAAUCUGAAAUCCUUAUUGGAAAUAAAUGAAAGGACCUUGACCAUUGAACACAGUUCAAAGGUUGAGCUCAAGGCUGAAAAGGAUGCUCUUGAGGAGGCAUAUGGAGCACUGAAAGAUGAUUUUCUGAAACUGAACAAAGGCAAUGAGUCCCUCAAUGUAACUAUGAAUGCCAUGAAUGAUCAGAUGUCAAAUUUACUUAAACAGAAUUCUGAACUAAAUGAAAAGUUACAGAAAUAUGAGAUGUCACACCAGAAAUAUGAGGAAGAAUGUCAGAAACUAGUAAGAAUAAGAGAAGAAAUUGAGUUAGAAUUGAAUAAAAUUCUCAAUUCUGAAACGACCUUGAAGCAAAAUAUGUCAGAGUUUCAGAGAAGCUUGAAAGAUAUAAAUUAUAAAUUUGAAAACUUGGUUGUAAGUACUGCAAUUGGUGGCAGUGAACUCAGAGUUAUUGAUUGCCAGAGAACUGAGUUGGAGGAACUUUUAAUGCUUAUGAAUGAUGAGUGUGACGAUAUAUCGCACAACAUUCUUAACUGUACGUAUGACAUGCUUAUACAGACAGAACAGAGUAUAGAAAACCAGUGUUUCUUGUUGGGCAUUUCUGUUCCCUUGAGAACUGAAGAACCAGCAGAAACACUUUUGAAUUUGAACAGAAGAAGUGAAUCUGAUGUCAUUGGAGAUACUGUAACAGAAAAAAAGAAAACUUGGCAGCAUCAAGAACUUCAUGACCUUCAGACACAAAUUAGCACUUUGAUUUCUGGAAUAAAGAUCGCCAUGAAGAAAUGUACAUCUGUAGAUGCUCAGUGUGAGCAAAUUAUGAAAACAUGUAACACAAAGACUGGAAAUGAGCAUAUCCUCUAUGACAGAGGUGCUUUUGGAAAUGUGGGAGGUCUCAGUUUUGUAGAUAGAACAAAUCGCAUAAAGGAUAUACUAACAAAGCUGCAUGGAUCACAGAAGAACCAGGCAGAAUUAGAAAUGGUUGAAGAUGGCCGGAAUCCUGAAGACUUACUUGAAAUAGAUUCUGGGGCCAAAGGCGUUAUGUUGACAACUGAGGAGGAAGUUCAGAAAGAGCACGACAAGAAACGGUCUUCUCAGCACUGUGCUAUGCUUAAAAUGAGACUGAUUCUAGAACAAAAUCUUGACCAGAAAACCAAAGAAGUUGAACACUUGAACAAACAGAACAAAUCUCUUCAGGAUAUGCUUCAGGAAGAACAAAAUUCAAGAGCAGAAAUGGAGAAAAAUUUCAAUGAACUAAGAAGUUUGCAUACAGCUCUUUCUAAUGAUAAAGAGGUUGUGUGUAAAUUGAAAGCAGUGGAGGAAGAAAAGUGUUUGCAGCUGCAGUUAGAAUUACAGAAAAAUUCUGAUAUCAAACAAGCAUAUGAAGCAUUGUUGGAAGUCAACUACAAGCUUCAGUCUGAUAAUGAUGAUAUGAAAACUAAAAUGGAUGAAAAAUUUAAAGCCAUUCGACAGGAGUAUGAAAAGAAAUUGGAUAGACUAAAAGCCAAAAUGAAAGUCCUGUACGAAGAGGAAAUUCAAAAGAAAACACAAACGUCAAAGCAAGAGAAUGAACAUCUGCAAGCAGUGUGUAGACUGUACAAAGAGAAGAUUGCAAGUUAUGAAAAUGAUGUAGGCAUCAUGAAGUCACAGAUGUGGGAAAUUGGAGAUAAGCUGCUGAUGUCAGAGAGAGAAAAGAAGAGGCUGGAAGAGGAAUUAUCAAAACAACAGAUACUCUUGCGCUGUAUUGGAAAACAGGAUGAUUUCUUAGAAAGUCGUGAAAUAUCAAGCAAUAUAGAAAAGGGAAGAAAAAUUGUUGGGUCCUCCAGAGAGAUGCAUACAAUGGAUGUAAUAGAUGAGUCUAUUACAUAUGUUAGAAGGAAAAAGAGUGUGCCUAGAUCUCUGCCUUCAGGCAUGGGUGCUAUGUUUGACCCUGAAGAUGAAGAAGGUGAAGUUUUUAACACCACAAAUUUGGCGGAUCUGAAAGCUGGGCGUUGUGUACCUCAAGGUUACAAGGGGCGUGUAAGUGAGUUACAAUAUCGUAACUCAUUGUGUCCUCCACAUCUGAAAUCAUCGUAUCCAGCAGAGACCCAGUUUCAUGAUCCACGAGAAUACAGAGAUGAAGAUCUUAAGUUGGGUUGUGCUGUGGAGCUAGAUCAGUGUGAUACCUUAAGUACCAGCAUGUUACUUCCUUCAGAAAAACAACGUAAAAAGGAUCGUGGACAGACAUCCUAUAAGAAACCAGGUCCUCCAACUCCUGGUAAAAAUGGUGGUCGUCUGUUUGUACAGGGAAUGGAGGUGCUUACACCACGUGCACCACUGAGAGAGAGCAACGAUGGGGCUUGUGUUCGAAAAGUAUCAACACCAAGUCGUCUAAAAUCACUGUUCACAAACAAGAAUCGUCGAGAUGAGAAUACUCCUGUCACUCCACGUGGCCGAAGACUCAGCAAUAUUUUUCGUAGACAGGUGAAAAACCAUCAGUGAAAACUGAAUCUUCUUUGUUCAGGUGUUUGUUUUCAGGCUGCGAUGAACUGUUAACUUUAGAUGCAUAAAAGGAAAAUUAAAUAAGAGUUGAGUAUAAUGAAAACGUUUAAUUAGCCCUUUACACUUCCACAUUCUGUAUUCAGUGCCCUGUAAUUUUGUCAUUAAGUGAAAAUGAGUGUUUUCCUCUGUGUUGUGGUGAAUAUAAAAACCAUUUUGUAUAUGAAAUCAAACAUUCUUGAAGAUUGUGUGUUGGCUUAUAGCAAUGAUCCUCAAUCCUGCCUCCACUAAACUCAUGUUACACUCACUGUGGAAAAUUACUGUCAUUUUGGUAUUCCUCCAAGUAGUGUGCAUUUCAUUCCAGAAGCUUAAUUUUCAAAGAAUUUGAUUUCUGGCACUGUGCUGGUGCUGUAACAUGCCAGACAUUUGCAUGAAAUCGUUAAUUUGGAUCAGAGAUGGGCAUUUAUCUUUACCUGAAGGCCAAAUAGGUCUGUUUCUAAUUGACUGCAGGCUGUUGAGUUGUGACAAAAAUUCUGUAGUUCGGACAUUUUAUUUGUAACAAUUCAGAGAGUAUCCUAAACUAUGGUUGCUAUUCUCAGUGUUUUAAGGAACAUGUUAAAUAAAAUCUGGAGUGGCACCAUUUGAUUUUUUCAUUUGCUGCUAUAGGAGUAUUUGUAAAUAUGUGUAAGAGAUACCCCAGUGCAUGAAUUUCCUUCAGAAUCUGUUUUUUUUCCCCUAGAUUUUUGUAAUUAUACAUUUGGUUAACUGUUUAUGUGGAAUUAAAACUUAACAUACCAUAUUAUUUGCAGUGUCUAAAUAUUGCUGCAGGCCAGGCUGAACGUUUUACAGGUCAUAAUUAUUCCACCCCUUUUGCACUCUGAAUUGACUGGUCAACAGUUAAGCUUACGAAAAUUAUGACAGAAAAGAUAUGACUGGUGAACAGACAUUGGCAUUUGCAGAAGAUACAACCUGGACAAAGAAUAGGUUCUUCUGUUAUUUUGUGUAGUAGCAUAUAUGGGGUAUUGAAUAUAUGUUUGGCUUCAAGAUCUCCAAUUAUACCAUUACUGACAUAGGUUGAGAAAUAAAACAUUAUUUAAGAUUCUGUUGUUUCUGUAUCAUCUUGUAAACAGCCAAAUAUGAAGAUUUCAAGCAAAGUUACGAUGUUUUUAUCACGUACAGUUGGUAGCCAGUGAUACAGAUGUUUUUUCCAACAUAAUUUUGUCGCAUGGCAGUCAUACAGUAGAUUCUUGAAUAUCCAUAUGUAUAUUAAACAUACAACUUUUCAGAAUCCUUUGGUUAUUGAUGUAUCUUCGUGUAACAAUUGAAGUGUUGUUCCUUCUGUUUUAGUAAUAUGUAUAUAUCAGUGAUAUUUAUGUUGUAACUUUCUGCUUUAUUAUUUAAUCGCUUUUCCUGGCUUUAUAACCCAGAACAAGGGUUGCUUUCUUUCAGUGGGAAGGUAAUUAUCUCUCCAUCUAGUAACCAACUUAUUUUAAGGACUGAAUGCAGCAUGGAUAGUGCAUACUUUCAGAUUGUUGGAUAAUCUGUUGUGUUUGAUUAUCUGUGCUACUUCUUGCAUCUGUUACCAUGAAUAAGCAGGCAUUCACUGUAUUGCUGUUCUAAUUGCCAUGUACCACAUUACAUAAGCUGAAUAGUAACAUAUGAAAAAGUACAGGUGGAAGAAGCUUCUGUAAAUGUGAAAUGAGGCAAAUUAUUGUUUUAUAUAUAACUACGCAUAUGAAGCAAUGGAGGUGGCCAUUCCAUCUUUACCUGGAAUACAUGGACUGUUAGUUUCACCUUCUUGUUCUUGAUCCAUUCUUGAAAUAGACUUAGCUUGGGAACUCAGAAUUUUUUUAUAUUUCUUGGCUACGGGUGUCAUAAAAGUAAUUUCACAUUUUUUGCUGGUGGUAAUAUAACACUGAAUAUAAUAUUCAUAAAGGUUGCAGAAUUGUAAACUGUCAGGACAGCUUUUUCCAGAACACUGUGAGUCUACUUGGUAGAUAUUGUCGCGUAUCGGGCGUAUAUCGCGACAAAUAAAUUCUCGAUGUAUUCGAUGUA